CAGCAGCCGCGGUAAUACAGAGGGUGCAAGCGUUAAUCGGAAUUACUGGGCGUAAAGCGCGCGUAGGUGGUUUGUUAAGUUGGAUGUGAAAUCCCCGGGCUCAACCUGGGAACUGCAUUUGAAACUGGCAGGCUAGAGUCUUGUAGAGGGGGGUAGAAUUCCAGGUGAAGCGGUGAAAUGCGUAGAGAUCGGGAGGAACAUCAGUGGCGAAGGCGGCCACCUGGGACAACACUGACGCUGAGGCACGAAAGCGUGGGGAGCAAACAGGAUUAGAUACCCCAGUAGUCCUGUCUCUUAUACA
RNAcentral lists this ribosomal RNA (301 nucleotides) under uncultured bacterium. RNAcentral's name for it is "partial 16S ribosomal RNA". It matches the Rfam family "Bacterial small subunit ribosomal RNA", at positions 509 to 809 of the family's 1533-position model. The record is from RNAcentral.